RNA transcript from Pecten maximus, 8161 nucleotides. It is a transcript of the gene named nucleolysin TIAR-like, with no coding region annotated. The transcript has 14 exons. NCBI's taxonomy places the organism in Eukaryota, Metazoa, Mollusca, Bivalvia, Pectinida, Pectinidae. The record is from RefSeq and is a predicted model, not a curated record.
CCGAGGGAGAUACACGGAUCACUCUAACCAUAGCCAGCUCACUUUACACAUGUUUUUGAACUAAAUUUGUCACCGGAGAUUGUCGGAGGAGUUCCUCUGUCACAGAACAGGAUUGUCACCAUGUUGUAGAGCUGGACUCAACACGCUAGCAAAAGUUGAUCUAGAGAUUUUUUUUCAAACUAAAAUGUGUGUAUGAAGGCAGAUACAUCACUUGCCAAAUUGAAUAUAUUUGGGGAGCCCAGACUAUACCAGGUCUACUGGGGUUUUCAUUACACGGAGCGAGAAUAAUAGAUCGCCCGCUUACUACUACAACACAAACGGUUUUCUAUCGAACCCAUUGAAAAUCGCCGGCAAUUUACAGUAUUUCCAAACGUGAGAUAAUUGUGUAAGCCUUGUCCUCUUCGGAGUUGAAUGCACUGAAAACUGAAUAUUGAAUUGUUAUUGUGACUGUGUGAGUUAGUGAAACCUGUAACAGGAGUCUAAGCUUAGGUGACUGGGGUUUGUCACACGUACGACUCCAGAGUACAGAGCCACUCUCAGGCAGUCAGGCGUGGCGGUGCUCAGGACGUGUAAAAAGGCAAACCAGCGCGACACCGAAGCAGGCACAGCAGCCAGGCGUGCAUGUUGUUACCACGGCAAGUGUGUACCCACGGUUACAGUUAGUGUGCUGUGGACUGGCAAACACCAGUCACUCCGAGAUAGACAGAAGGACAGACGGAGGUGUGUAGUAGAACACUCUAUCCUGCACGUCUAUCUACACCAAUAGACCCGAGUGUGUACCACACAGACACGGAGGAUCAAGUCAAUUAAGUACCGGAGCAGUGCGUGUGUGUAUCGGACUUUCGAUCUGGAUCAUCUCAGCACCAUUGCCGCGUUACAACUUGCUGCAUCUCCGACCUCGGUAGCCAGUGUCGCUCCUCGCCUCAAAACACUAUCUGUUGGCUCUAGGAGGUACCUUGGAUCCGGAGUCAGGAUGCACCCCUACCUCUACGUACAGUACCCGUAUGUACCAAUGCCUAUCAAGCAGGACCAGCUCGUGGAAAUGAAGGUCAACUGGGCCACCUCUCCAAGUAAUCAGCCCAAACAAGACACAAGCAAACAUUUCCAUAUAUUUGUGGGAGACCUCAGUCCAGAUAUAGAAACACACCAACUCAAAGAAGCUUUUGGAGCUUUUGGGGAAAUAUCUGACUGUAAGAUCAUCAGAGACCCACAGACGUUGAAAUCCAAGGGAUAUGGUUUUGUCUCAUUCGUUAAAAAAUCAGAUGCAGAAACAGCAAUUAAUGGAAUGAAUGGACAGUGGCUAGGAUCUCGGGCUAUACGAACCAACUGGGCAACCAGGAAACCCCCCGCACCUGUACCGAAAGAAACUGUGAAACAGAUGUCAUAUGACGAAGUAUAUAACCAGUCAAGUGCUACAAACUGUACCGUCUACUGUGGUGGAAUAGCUAAUGGUCUAACAGAAGAUCUUGUACGUCAAACAUUCAGCACCUAUGGCACAAUACAAGAAGUGCGGGUAUUCAAAGAUAAAGGCUAUGCUUUCAUUAGAUUUUCCACAAAAGAAGCAGCUGCUCAAGCCAUAUGUUCUGUGCAUGGUACAAUGGUAAACGACCAGCAAGUCAAGUGUUCCUGGGGAAAAGAGUCCAACGACCCUAGUCAAAACAGUACUGGAGGCCCAGCCACACCCCUGCCCACACAGAACAGUCCCGCCCAGCAGAGUCCACAGCAGCAGUAUUCCACAAGCUCGCCCUCCUCUUAUUCCCCUUACUUCAACAUGGGCUACUACUUCCCCGGGGCCUACCAGAAUAUGGCACAGGGCAGCUACAUGCAGGCUGGGGGGAUCAACCAGUGGCCUGCAGGCUACAACUACCAGACAUACAGUAUGCCGACAGCUGUCCAACAGUGGGGACAGGUCCAGAUGCAGCCGGGCCAACAGCAGCAGUUUAAUGGCCAGCAGCCCGGCAUGAUGGGAUACCCAAUGCAGCAAGAUGAAGGCGUGGAAACAGGUGUCGGCGGAAUGAUGGCCCUUAAUUAUCUCAAGUCCGCUCCGUGACGAGACCCCGCACCGAGACCAGGAAUGAUGAGAGAACAGAGGGUGGAUACAAGAGUUAGAUUAAAGAUUCCAGCAAGCUCAGUGAUCAUGACUUACCGCGUUCCAUCUACCAUCAACUGCCACGCAUCAUCCCUGGUCGUACUCGGCUAAUCCUGGUCGUGGCACCGCUUCCUGGACUACUACCUUAUACUGCUGGAGGCUGUUUACUCAGCCUGUGAUGUGUCCUUUGCGGGAGGAACAGCUAACAGCACAAAAUGCAACUUCGCUAAAAUAUUUGAUAAUUCUUUUAAUAGAGAUUUAUACAGUUAUUAAUCUAAAGACUAAUAUUGGUACUUGUUGAAUUACCCAAAUUUUGAUAAGAUAAAAUUGAAAUUCUUUUACAUACAUUUUGUUAAUUUAAAAUGUUAAAAUUGAUUAUGUAAGCAACAUUUUAAUAUAAUAAAGCUGUUUAGGGAGUGGGAGGGCAGAGUUUUAUUAUUUAUUUUAGGAGAAGUUGCUGACUGUACUUUUAGCAUCACCAUCUCAUCAACUCUGUAUAUAGGUGUAUUAACAUGUAGAAGUUUAUAAUUUGAUGAGGAUGGUGUACGAUUCAGGUUCUCAUUGAGAUGCGACAGUUGUGGCAUGUCAUGUAUUGCCAUGUCGGCUGUGGAAUGAUGCUGUAACAAUUUAGGUUCUCAAGGAGAUGUGACGGUUGUGGCAUUUUGUGUAUUAUUGUGUGGGCUGUGGAAUCUGACUGUGUCUACCAUGGCUCAUAGCUUCAGGACAAGUUAUACAGACAUUCAAAACACUGCUGUCUCAUGUCCCAGGAUAUUCUAUUGCUUACACCCAAAUCAUGUGGACAAGUUGUUUGUAACUUUCUACUGAUGAUUUAGGAUACAGAAUGUCUGUAAAAUAACUUGUACACUGACAACAGUUGUUUGCUGUCAACUUUUAAACUUACAACUAUUGUUCAGUGUUAAAUUUGUAUACUGACUCUUGUUGUUUGGUGAUAACUUGUACACUGACAACUGUUGUUUGGUGAUAACUUGUACACUGACAACUGUUGUUUGGUGAUAACUUGUACACUGACACCUGUUGUUUGGUGAUAACUUGUACACUGACUCUUGUUGUUUGGUGAUAACUUGUACACUGACUCUUGUUGUUUGGUGAUAACUUGUACACUGACACCUGUUGUUUGGUGGUUAACUUGUACACUGGCAACUGUUGGUUGGUGAUAACUUGUACACUGACACCUGUUGUUUGGUGAUAACUUGUACACUGACAACUGUUGGUUGGUGAUAACUUGUACACUGACAACUGUUGUUUUGUGGUUAACUUGUACACUGACACCUGUUGUUUGGUGGUUAAUUUGUACACUGACACCUGUUGUUUGGUGGUUGACUUGUACACUGACACCUGUUGUUUGGUGGUUGACCUGUACCCUGACAACUGUUGUUUGGUGGUUGACUUGUAAGUACACUGAUAACUGUUGUUUGGUGGUUAACUUGUACACUGACACCUGUUGUUUGGUGGUUGACUUGUACACUGACACCUGUUGUUUGGUGGUUGACUUGUACCCUGACAACUGUUGUUUGGUGGUUGACUUGUAAGUACACUGAUAACUGUUGUUUGGUGGUUAACUUGUACACUGACACCUGUUGUUUGGUGGUUGACUUGUUGACUUAUGACUGCUUAAGUUGAUUAACUUGUAACUGUUGUUUGUUGGUUAUUUUGUAACAGAUGUUAGUCAACUUAUAAAGUCAUGUUGCCUGUAAAUUAAUUGGUAACAACAUUAUUAAUUUUGUUUAAGUUUUCAAUUUUUAAAACUGCUGUAUAGGUAUUUCGUAAACAACAUUACAUCUGAUUUAUAUAAGGUUUGGAAGCUUACGUCUACAAGUUACCCAUUACAACAGGAGCUAGGAGCUUUGGUUAGAGAAGUCACUUGUAUUGUAUAGUGCCACACCGUCGUAACCCAGGAGGAGGACAGUGUUGUUUAUGUUGAUGAUGAUUAUAUAUAGUGUGUGAUCAUGGCUGUCCGCCGGAUCAAAAGGUUCAACAAUUCUCAAGAGGUUCAACAAUUCAAGCUGUGUGCCUGAUGGUACACCAGGCAGGUUGAUACUGACAACAGAUUUGUUGGAUCACCAGAUAUGUGGGUCCGGCGGAUCGGCCAUUGUCCUUGUAGAUAUUGUACCAAUACUAAUAUAAAAAUGGAUGGUUUAUCGGAAGUUAUAUCAAUUCUGAAUCAAUGCUCAUGAUGUAUUUAUUAUAUGUAGUGAGGCUGUGUAAGCGAGAGAUCACAGGCACCACUAGGAGGCAGUCACUGUAUUGUCGUCACUAGGGGGUAGCACUUGCAGUGUUGCCACUAGGGGGCAGUAUAGGAUUAACUCUAUGUGGUGGGAGUCUGUUGUUGUAAAACUUGUUUCCCCUCAGUUACAGUUUGUGAGUAUAAGAUGAAGUUAUUAAAGCCCUCCGGGCUCAUUAGUGUGAUUGAGUCAAGCUAUAAGUUCAGUUGUAUAUUGAGUGAAGUUAGAAGAUCAGAUUUUUAUUGUUUUUAUAUGUGGGAGUGUGAAUGGCAGAUUUAAAUGCGUAUACAAUGACAUGGUAAUGAUUUUAUAUGAGAUCAUGCACAGAAUUGGACUAGGAUGUUUCAAAUGAAUGAAUUAUUUUUCAUUUUAUUAUAUGAUAAAUGUCGCAGUUGUUGAAAGUCGUAUAUUAUUAUUAUUAUUAUUAUUGGUGUCCAAGGAAAGACAAGUAUUAACAGCUAAGUAGGAAUAAAUUAUUUAUACGUGUUUUCACCAAAUUCCGACGGUGAGUCAUAUUGUCUAGUGGACAACACUCAUCGCCAUCAUGUAUCUAUAGCAUCAACUUUAUGUUCUGUUUUAUUUGUACAAUGUUAAUUGUGUAAAAAAAAAGUUUUUUAAGACGUGAGAACAUUUCGUUAUGCCACAUAUGGCUGCUGCAAUGCGUAUAUUUUGAUACAAGGGGUAUUGUAGAUUAUUAGAUACUGGUUUGGUAGAGCUGAAUGGUUAUUUAUCAUUGCUAGUAACAUGUGUCGUUGUAAAUAGGAAAUCAUUGAUUGUAGUUAGUAGGGACAUCCCGUUGUCAUACAUCGUCAUGGUUACAUUGGAAGCCCCUGUGUCAUAUGUUGUCAUGGUUACUUAGGGACCUACCUGGGAGUCCUCUCAUCACAGUGGUGUGGUUCAUCAUUCUGGGCUGUCGUUGUAUCGUGGCUUAGUCAUCAUGGUCGUCCUACAUGUGGUACGUGGUUUGUGUGAAGCGUCAGUGAUCUGUGUCGUUGUGGCGCUACCAGGCCCCGGCCUGACAUGGAGUGUUGUAAUGUAUAUCCCAGGAUUGCCUCGUUCUAUAUCCAGAUGUGUUCUAUUUAUGUAUAUAACUGGAAAUUAAAAAUGAGACAUGGAAAAGUCUGGGCUAGCACAGCUCAUACAAGGCGUCAUUGUGUUAGCAGACCCUGCAUGUCGACCUUUAUAUAUCGACAGUGUGUUACAGAAAUCAUCCUCUUGUUUAAGUGCUACAAGGACAGCUUCUAUAUCGAUAUGCAAACUUAGGUUAACUAGUUAAAAGUGUGCCAUAUAGUGUUGUGGCAAACCCAAUGUGCCAUUUUAUAAUGUCAUCAGCUGUUAGCUCUAGUGUCAAGGUCAUGACCUUUGUAUCUAAUGUCAUGGCCUCUAAGGUGAUCAGAUCUUGUUUCCAUAUAGCCAGAUUUUCUCCUACUAGUAUGUAUGAAGUGGAGUUUCACUUAAAGCUGAGUGAUUCUGGGGCCAGAUAGGGCUGCACACAUUUUCUUUAUAGAUUCUAAAAGUUUUCAUGUUUUUACCUGAAAUUCCCCCUCCAGUGUUCAAAAUCAUUACUUUUGCGAUGUUAGGAUAAGUAAACACAUCUUGAUAGAAAAUAAGAACUGUUAGGUGUUUGGCCCAAGCAGUGUGUUGAUCUCAUCAUUUCUGUGAUACCUAGUCUGUGAUGGCCGAGACUUUUCCAUGUUAGAACACAUCACACAUGUGUACAUAAACAUUGUGGGAGUAUUGUAGUAGUCAUCAGUUACUCAUACACCCUAGGAUUUACUGGUCAGCCUCGUACUAAUCUUUUGUACGAAAUGUUGGAUAUUCCGAUUCACAUAAACUCUUGUUUUGAUAACAAGCUAAAAUUUCGUCUCUGUUCACAUGAGGCCAGUACCAGCAACUAGUAUCAGGGAGCUUGUAAGCUUUCUGUGAACUGUGAUAUAGGUCUUCAUAAUACAGCUAGUCCCUGUAGACGGAUGUUUUCAUUGUACUUUAAAUGGUUAUACUGAUGUGAUAAUGUUCAUCGAUUUGUUUAAUCAGUGUUUUAACGAACCCAUUUAAUCUGAAAUUAGAUUUUCUACUACAGACAUUUUUAUUGGUGUGAGCAGAUGAUGGCCUAGAGGUUCAGCGCUUGUGUAGAGGUGUUAUGGGGGUGUUGUCCCUGUGUUUUAUACUUUAUACAAAAUCAGCUCAACUUUCUAUGUUGUGUAUAGAGGCAAUGUCUUAACACGACCGCUCUAUCUUCUGUCAGGUACACUCUCAGGGCUACAGGGGAUCAACCCAUCUUCUAAAUGAUUUCGCGGGUAGCCAGAGAUAUCCUCAUCACAAGAUUUGGUGUCUCAGAUUUUACCUCAUUUAUAAAUCAUAACUAAAGUCUCCCCCAGCUGUGGCCAUGAAUUGAUCUAUUAGAUAAAGGGAAAUUUUAUAUCUGUUGGAUAUCUUGACAGAAUUCAUGUUAAUAGGUCUGUUUGAUGUUAGCACUGAAAACCAACCCAUAGGAGUGUCAUCAAAUGUUAGAACAUUGUUUGCUGUCACUCAGCCUAACUUCAGAAUGUCUUCAUAUGAAAUGUACAUACAUGUUAUUGCUAGUCCAAACCAGACUGUUGUAGUUGGCGUUGUUAAUCUGAGUGUGUCAUUAUACCGUUACAUGUCCGGACCUCCAAUCUUCUGUAGGAUAUGUUCAGACAUUUUUUCAGCUGUAAGCAACAGGACCAUAUUUUGAUUUUUUAAGUUUUUACUGAAAGUAAAUCUGCUCAAUUUCAGUGUGUACACAAAAGCAGAAAUCGGUCUGAAGAAUCCAAACUUCCAGUGUUCAUACAGACUUCCUAUAGAAAUUCAGCCUGAAUCUGGUGAUAAAGUUGUUACAAUACAUCAAAUAGAUUCAGAAAAUCAUAUUUAGUCACGGAAAUAGUUCAAAGUUAAAAUUUGUAAUAAAUGUUUUGAUGAUCCUUGAUUCACAAGAUCUGUUACAUUGUGUAAUAUUUAGUCUGUAUAAAGUGACGUACCCUGAGAGGUGACACAUCCUUGUUAGACCGUGUACAUACUAUAUAAUUUAUGCAGUACUGUCACAUAACUAACUAAUACAUCUGGCACUUUCCUGGUCAAUCAUGUGUGUCCUUCAGACGUUCUCCUUCAGUGACUUUCUCCUUCAGACGUUCUCCUUCAGUGACUUUCUCAUUACCUUAUGCUUCCUGGUUAAAGAAUUAAUACUAAUAUUGUGAUUCUUAUGAAAUUUAAAGAAUCUGAAGGUUGUUUUGGUCUCAAAAUUUAACAAUAGAUUAUAAGAUAUAAUGAUUUGAUUUUCAGUCCUUUAAAUGAUGUGAACACAAUGAUUGUUGGACACACACGUUUGACGAUAGGUGCGAGUCUAACCAUCACUUAUGACAAUUAUGUGUAGGACCAGUCUGUAAUAUACAGAAGUCGUUUUAUCCGUGAGGCCUGGUGCUUCAGCAAAUUGUACAUAGAGUUAUAGGAGCGGGGUGGAUGUGGAGUUAUCUCCCUUACCAAAGUUAUCUAGUGACAGCAGUCACGAUAGAUGACGAGGAAACAGGUGUAAACAGGUGUAUUAUAGCUUGUUUCUACAUUUACCAUCAAAUAACGUAAUUUUACAAUCAGUCGGAAACCUCUUUAUCCGUGAAGGGAGAUAACUCCAAUCUGCCAUGUAUUGUGUGGGGGUGUUCGAACCUGAUGGUUGAGAGCCCUUGUGAAGGAUCAGUGUGAUUGUGUACACUCCAUUAUCCAUAUGUCCAGUUCAUUUUGUGUUUAUCAGAACGGUGUAGUCCGCUCUGUUCAUUGUACCACAGCAAAAACAAAAAUAAAAAGCAUGGGAAGUCGA